Molecule: ribosomal RNA, 253 nt
Filed under: uncultured bacterium
Lineage: Bacteria
Description: partial 16S ribosomal RNA
Rfam family: Archaeal small subunit ribosomal RNA
Source: RNAcentral
UACCAGCACCCCGAGCGGUCGGGACGAUUAUUGGGCCUAAAGCGUCCGUAGCCGGUCCUACAAGUCUUCCGUUAAAUCCACCUGCUCAACAGAUGGGCUGCGGAAGAUACUAUAGGGCUAGGAGGCGGGAGAGGCAAGCGGUACUCAGUGGGUAGGGGUAAAAUCCUCUGAUCCAUUGAAGACCACCAGUGGCGAAGGCGGCUUGCCAGAACGCGCUCGACGGUGAGGGAUGAAAGCUGGGGGAGCAAACCGG